Molecule: non-coding RNA, 74 nt
Filed under: uncultured Bulleidia sp.
Lineage: Bacteria; Bacillati; Bacillota; Erysipelotrichia; Erysipelotrichales; Erysipelotrichaceae
Description: TPP riboswitch (THI element)
Rfam family: TPP riboswitch aptamer (THI element)
About the family: Vitamin B(1) in its active form thiamin pyrophosphate (TPP) is an essential coenzyme that is synthesised by coupling of pyrimidine and thiazole moieties in bacteria. The previously detected thiamin-regulatory element, thi box was extended, resulting in a new, highly conserved RNA secondary structure, the THI element, which is widely distributed in eubacteria and also occurs in some archaea. Analysis of operon structures identified a large number of new candidate thiamin-regulated genes, mostly transporters, in various prokaryotic organisms.
Source: RNAcentral
UGAACAGGGGUGCGUUUUUGCGCUGAGAAAUACCCUUAUCACCUGAUCUGGUUAGAACCAGCGUAGGGAGUUCA